Molecule: ribosomal RNA, 497 nt
Filed under: uncultured bacterium
Lineage: Bacteria
Description: partial 16S ribosomal RNA
Rfam family: Bacterial small subunit ribosomal RNA
Source: RNAcentral
GAUGAACGCUGGCGGCGUGCCUAAUACAUGCAAGUCGAGCGAACAGACGAGGUGCUUGCUCCUCUGACGUUAGCGGCGGACGGGUGAGUAACACGUGGAUCACCUACCUAUAAGACUGGGAUAACUUCGGGAAACCGGAUCUAAUACCGGAUAAUAUAUUGAACCGCAUGGUUCAAUAGUGAAAGACGGUUUUGCUGUCACUUAUAGACGGUUCCGCGCCGGAUUAGCUAGUUGGUAAGGUAACGGCUUACCAAGGCAACGAUGCGUAGCCGACCUGAGAGGGUGAUCGGCCACACUGGAACUGGGACACGGUCAAGUCUCCUACGGGAGGCAGCAGUAGGGAAUCUGCCGCAAUGGGCGAAAGCCUGACGGAGCAACGCCGCGUGAGUGAUGAAGGUCUUCGGAUCGUAAAGCUCUGUUAUUAGGUAAGAACAAAUGUGUAAGUAAAUAUGCACGUCUUGACGGUACCUAAUCAGAAAGCAACGGCUAACUACGUG